This 442-nucleotide ribosomal RNA is filed under the name uncultured bacterium. Its description in RNAcentral is "bacterial SSU rRNA". It matches the Rfam family "Bacterial small subunit ribosomal RNA", at positions 29 to 514 of the family's 1533-position model. The record is from RNAcentral.
AACGAACGUUAGCGGCGCGCUUAACACAUGCAAGUCGAGCGGGCGUAGCAAUACGUCAGCGGCAGACGGGUGAGUAACGCGUGGGAACGUACCUUUUGGUUCGGGAUAACCCAGGGAAACUUGGGCUAAUACCGGAUAAGCCCUUACGGGGAAAGAUUUAUCGCCGAAAGAUCGGCCCGCGUCUGAUUAGCUAGUUGGUGAGGUAACGGCUCACCAAGGCGACGAUCAGUAGCUGGUCUGAGAGGAUGAUCAGCCACAUUGGGACUGAGACACGGCCCAAACUCCUACGGGAGGCAGCAGUGGGGAAUAUUGGACAAUGGGCGCAAGCCUGAUCCAGCCAUGCCGCGUGAGUGAUGAAGGCCCUAGGGUUGUAAAGCUCUUUUGUGCGGGAAGAUAAUGACGGUACCGCAAGAAUAAGCCCCGGCUAACUUCGUGCCAGCCG